AUGAAAAUAAUGCUUUACAUAUGACUGAGUUUAUCUCAUGCUCCAGAAUAAAAGCCUAUGCUUAUUCCAUGGGACAGGACUGCGCAGCUUCAGUACAUAAGAAUUCUGAAUGGCCUCUUGCCUCAGAAACUAACAUUGUUAUUCAUAAUGAGUUCCAGGACAAAUAAGAACAAUAAGGCUACAAUUAAAAGGGGCAACUGCUACUAUAGCUUAUAUAUACAUAUCAUGAAUUCUGCCUUAAUCUUUCCUGACCAUUGACUAUGUUAUUAACUCUCUAUGUAGAUUCAACUAUUCAACUGCUUAACUAUGUCUAAGCUACUAAUAAACCUUCCUGAAUGAAUAGCAGAUGAACAACUGAAUAUAAAUGAAAACAGAUGCCUCGAAGAAGAGAAUCUAGAAUUGUCAUCAACUCUUCAUGAUCACUACAUGUUUUCUCAUAUGCCCAUAGCACAUUGCCAAAGUUUAUUGACUUCUUCCAAAAUUUCUGUAUGAAAUUAUGAUUAUGACCUCAUAGAGUUCAGGAUUACUGACUAAAGAGCAUGCCUCCCCAGGAUGUUUUUCAAAGAAGCUGGUACCCCCAGGAGUGCUGGAGGAGGAAGGUACACAGAUGCAUUUGAGGACAUUACUAGCCUGAACGCUGCUCUAUGAGACAAUCUUCCAAAGUUUGACUCCUUUCAAAUCUGAGAACCUGGAGUCACUCCAUGAUCCAGAGACACAAGUCAGGGUUCAACCAGAGAAGCAGAACCAGUAGGGGACACAUAUGAAGAGACUUAUUCCAAGGAACCGGCUCACUAAAUGUGGAGGCCGGCCAGGUGGAAUUGUAAGGCUGUCAGCAAGGGCAGGUUGGAACUCUCUGGAAUGGGCUGAAACUGCUCUCCACAAGCAGAAUUUCUUCUGGGAAGACUCAGUUGCAUUUCUGAUGGAAUUAUCUAGAUAGUUAUUGAUUAUCUAGGAUAAUCUCUUUUACUUACAGUCAAUUGAUUAUGGACUUUAAUCACGUCUGAAAAAUACCUUCACGGCAACACCUAUAUAUGUGUUGGUGAAUAACUGGCAACAGCAGCUUACUUAGCCAAGUUGACACACUGAAAGACCAUCAGGGUUAAAUUUUCAGAUGUAGAAUUACUUAGUCAAAGGGGAUGGAAUUUUUCUUUUAAUCUGAUAUAUGUAUUCAAACUCCUUUUCUAAAAGAUCGUCACAAUUUUCUACGCGUUCCCACUCUGCCCCUGUCUUUUCUUGGGGUCGGUACCAGACUGCCCUGUCUUUUCUUGGGGUCAGUACCAGACUGCCUCCCCUACUGUACAGUGUAUGAGUGACUAAUACAGUUGAGAGUGCCCCUAAAAUAAAAGUACUGGUGUCUCAAGCACAACAUUUCCUGGCAGUAAUAUUUAAGGACUCGUCUUUCCCAGGACAGUUAGUCUUUCUUCUCCAUGACAUCUAGCCCCCUGAGCACUGUAGGAGCCUCACAGAGUAAAUGCCCAGAUCUAUUUAUAGGUGGGAACAUAAAUUACUAGUUAUUAUUUACUCCUCGUAGGAAAUGUGUUAGGCAUUUAGGGGGCAGAUAGAAGUAUUAACACUGUCCUCAAAAAGUCUAAAGUUGACAGUAAUUUUCAAAAAAACAUUUAAUGCUAUAUUCAUGUCAAAGUUUAUUUUUAUAUAUUUCUCUGGGAAAUGGG
Long non-coding RNA from Equus caballus (horse), 1673 nucleotides. The record is from Ensembl. NCBI's taxonomy places the organism in Eukaryota, Metazoa, Chordata, Mammalia, Perissodactyla, Equidae.